GGCGCAACUUGAUGUGACAAAGUUUAUAGAUUUGUGUGCUCUUCUUGAAGGUCCUUGCUUAUAGUUCAUCUAAUUCUUGCCAUCCAUAUAGGGCCAGUAGCUGGCUAUCUAAUCUAAUCUGCAACAAUAAUUUUCUUAUUGGCUGCCAAAGAUGCAAGAUUAAGUGUAGAUUAAAGGAUUCCAUGCCAAUGCAAUUAUCUUUCCAUAUCUUAUGUUUGAACCACUCCUGAACUGAAAUCUGAUUUUGCUAAGGAGCCACUUUUCUGUACUCAUGAUUCCUUUCCAAACUUGAGAUGCACGGGCGAUUCAAUAAGGGAUGUCGCUUCAUUCCUUCUUCUGUGGUUGUAGUUCUGUCAGAUUAUUUCUAUCUAUGGAUUGGUGUCAAAAUUAUAGAAUCUCUACGAACUCUCAUAUCAUGGCACUUUAUUAGCAAGCUGCAUAAUUUUGGGUUUUGACCCUUAAUCUACCUUGAUUUUCCUUUGCAGACUUGGAUCUACUUUACCAAGAAUAAACCUUGAUUAACUUUCUCAGUGCCAAUCUGCAUGAAUGCUCUUCUUAGGCUGUCCAAUUUCUUGAUAACCUAUUUAGGAAUGUACCAAACAUGCAUCAAUUUAGUAGGGACGAGAUGAUAGGACUGCUUUCGCAAAUAGUCGUUCAACAAGAGAUAAAAAUCUCCUUUUCCAACAUGCUAACCUUUCUUCAAAUUUUUCAAUGAAAAAAGCUUAGUCUCCUCAUUGAGUCAGGAACAAUUCAGUUAGAUUCCCAAAUAAGUGACUGGCAGGGACAUCUGGACUCAAUUAAGGAAAGUAGGACAUCUGUCUCCUUUUUGAAUGGCUAUUCUACUUUUAUUAAAAUUGAUUUUUGAGUCCAAUAAUAAGCUUGACACCGCAGAGGAUGAUCUUGAUAGUUAAGACUAGAGGUUUUUAGUUAUUGCAUGAAAAAAAAGCAGCAUUGGCAUAGCAGAUGCUGAAAAUCUAUGAGACUUGUGGAUCUUGAUUUGGACAGAAUCUUGCUAACAACAUCUCUCGUGGGCUUCUCAAGAGCUAACAAGUAUAAGUGUUUUAUUGUGAGUUUUCAAUUUGUUGAAAGGAAAAAUGGCAGAAGGGGGGACAAUAAUUUAAUGAAAAAAGGAAGAAAAUAUCUGCCCUGCUCUUGGAUGAGGGUUUAAGUCUACAUUCUAUGAAGCCUGAUACACAUCAUUGACCCUUUUCCUUUUAGUUUAAGCUUUUGUGGUCAAUUUGUUGCUCAACAUGGUAUCAGACCUCAUGUUUCCUAGAGGUCAUGUGUUUGAAUCUCAUUUAGUUUAGUUGUUUAUUUAAUCACACCCAAUUAUCUGUUACAUUAAUUCUAGUCUGUCUUGAUUUAGUUGUCCCUCUAUGUGUGGUCUGGCCCGCAUGUGAUGUGAGAUGCUAAGCCUGAUAUACAUAGUUGACCCUCAUCAGCUUAAGCUUUUCAGGGCUGGUGGUUAGUUAACACAUCUCACCACCACCCUUUUCCUUUUUUUGUCUUUUUAUUUUUUAUGAUAGCCCAAGACGGUUUAAACCUAGAUAGGAAAAGGAUUUCAUUGCUGAUAAGCAAAUGAGAUGAAUUUUAGAAUGUCUUAAAUUAUUAGAUGACAGCAGCCGACAGAAAUGCAUCCCCUUAGAAUUUUUUUCCCUUUUCUGUUAUAAAUUUUCUUAACAUGUGGUGCUUUUUUCCUCUUUAAGAAACAUUAUGCUUGUUUUUAAUUGUAAAAGGCCUGGACUGCCUCUCUGGGAGUCACAACCCACCUCCCCCUAAAAUUCCCCAUCCAAGAGUACCAUACAAACAUACAUGCAUAGAUACAUGCCUUCAAGAAUGCGUAUAUACACACCAUCUGACUUUACAAGUCUCCACCCUCUACACAUCUAUAGAAACAUCAACCUUUACUCCAUACACUAAUUUUGCUCCCUUCUUGCUCUGUCUAUAAGGGAGAGAAACAAGACAAGUGCACUAGCUAAUGGUGGAAAUCUAUUUAUCAAGUUAUUUCAACAAUAGUAAAAAAAAAAAAUUAAUUAAAUGGGAGAUCGCAACCAUACUUGCUUCCUUGCACAUGGCCCAGAUCUAUUUUAAUGUAAUGUUACAUAUUAAUCAAGAUACAAAUAAUCAUGUCGUGUUACACUACAUUAUAAUUCUUGUCUAUAGAGGCAACAAUUGAUCUCCAGAUGGUAAUUUUGUAUUAUAUAGUCGGAAGAGUUUCCUUGAAUUGGCUAUUAUUGGAACAUUCACACCCUACCAACCCAGAUCCAUCUCAUUUAAAUAAAAAGAAUUCUUUAAUUUUCUCUAGUUAUUUCAGAUGCUUUUAUUAUGGUUAAAAUGGACACCUGCUUACCAUAUUCAUGUGAAAUUUGUGAUUUUGAACUAAUAUUCUGGUAUUAAUUAUAGAAGAAGGAGAAUAGUAAACGGCGGAAGCAAGAAGAAUAUUAUGCAGGAAAGAAAGUCAAAGACAGAAAGGUAACAUUCUUAUCCGCUCCAAUGAACUCCAUUUUAAUUAUAUAUGUUUUCCUAUACAAUAUUCUGUUUCUAUCAAUGGCCAUUUUUUAGUUAUAUUUUUCAAGUAUGCAGCCUCAAGAGAUCAUGAUAUCAAAUUCUUGCUUGUUUGGUUUAACUGUCCGUUUUACUUUAAUGUGGAGGGUUUAUUAUUUCAUUUUAUGUUUUAACAAGUUGCAUGCUUCUAUCUUGUUGAUUAAGAAGAAUCCAUCAGAAAAAUAUGUUUAAUUAUCAGUCAAAGGAAAGAAUUUGCAUAUAUGCAAUUCCUUUAGACUGGAGAUAUGGUUUUCUUUGUUGGCACAUCUAACAUUUGUAGUCUGCUGUUAUAAUUCAUGGAUCCAGUAUGUAAAUGAUGAGUGCAUUUUUCAGGAAAAGAUGGUGGAUUGUUCUGCAAGAGCUAAUAUACAUCCCAUUCAACCUGAAAAUGCAGCUGUCUAUUCUUUUAUGGUGAAUCAUGUGAACCACAAUGAUCAAUUUUCUUGUGAAGGUUGGUUGUUCAUAUCCUUGAAAUGCUUAAUCUGAGCUGAUAAUUUACCAAGUUAACUUUCAUUGGAUAAUCAAUAUUUAUCUCAAGUCUCAACUCUUUAGUUAAAUGUACAUUAUUUCUUUGUUAUUCGUAUAAAUUUUUUCUUGAACUUCUUAUGCUUAUAUGGUUUUCAUUCAUAAUACACAUCAAAAUUGGAUAAGGAUAUUUCUAUUUUGUUAACUGGAUGAUAUUAUUCUUAUCUUUUUCUUGUAAUUAAGAAGAAAUGCUGUUACUAGUGUCAUAUAUGAACAAAUAAGACUGUAACAACUUGGAAUUUUGAUAAACUGCAUAAAUAAUACAGCUAUUCAGUAGGUAUGAAUGCAAACACUCUGUUGAACACAGGUUUUGUUAUCUUCACAUUGGUUAUGUAUGAACAAAUAAAACCUAAACAACUUGGAAUUUUGAUAAACUGCAUAAAUAAUACAGCUAUUCAGAAGGUAUGAAUGCAAACACUGUGUUGAACAUGGGUUUUGUUACUUUACAUUGGUUAUAUGGACAUCACAUAACAUCCAUGCUCUUUAUGUUCAGAAGGAAAGCUUUUAACCAUUUUCAAAUUCCUGAAUAAUAAUAUAUGGCAUCAUGAUAUGGUUUAUUUCAUAGUUUAAUCAUCUUAAUAUGAUUGGUUGUCAAUCUAAGCCCAACCUUUUAUGUUUCUUGUAUGGGCUAGGGACUUAAUCGGCAGUUUUGAACUACAGUGGAUAAAAUUAAGGAUAAUAUUAUAAAUCUGAAAGGGAUAAAUGAUGUUAAUGGCUAUUAAUUUGAUUAAAGGUUAAAAUGUUGUUGGUGUCGUGAGUACUUAUGCAUCACAGGUGUGACUAGGGGAAAAAAAAUAAGAAUUAUGUAUUAUAUGUAGAGAAUGUUGAACUCGGAUACAGUCACUUGCAUUUGAAGUCAUCCAAUCAGGCAAAAUCAGAAGAUAGGAGUCCAACAAUGAUGAUUCGAGCUAUGGAAUGUGAUCUACUAUCUCUAAAUGGCCUAUAGACCAAAAAUUAUAUAAUUUGAAGACCCCUAGCUUAUACAUUGAGUCAUUAAAAAUAUGCAUUCUAUCAUGUUAUUUAAAAUGACCAUAUUUGACAUGAUGCAUAUUCUAGGGGUCUCUAAAGUAUAUGAUUUUUAGUCUCUAAGCAAUUUGAGGUAGUAGAUCACAUUAGAAAGCUUGGAUCAUCAUUAUCAAAUCCAUAUUUUCUGAUUUCACAUGGCCAAGUUUGACUUCAAAUAUAGUUGACUGGAUGACACAUUAUAUGCUUCUUUCAUAAAAGAUUUAACAAUUCUAAAGUUAAUGUUGAGGCAUCCGAAUCAAAGAUGGUUAUGAUUACACUUAUAAAGCACCUAAGGAUAAAAAGUUAUAUUUGUUGGAGGUAUCUAACCUAUGCAUUACAUGGGUAAAAUGGAUGGUGCCCAUCGUACUAUUGUGCUAAAAUAAAUGAUAGGACAUUUUUCAAUUGAGAAUCACUUUAUUUAUCAUGAUCUAAACAUGUUAAACUAUGUAUAGAUUGAAAAUAGGUAAAUUUUGAUGCUUAGAUUGCAGCAAAAUAUGUCUCAUAUCAUUAAAACUGCCAAUUUGUAUCCAUUCGAUGCACAAAUAAUUUUUAUUUUCCAGACAUUUUUAGUGAUUAGAUGAUGAUCGAUAGUAUAUUUGAAGGGUCUAGCAUUGAUUUUUAUCAUUAAAUAUCUUACAAAAGAUUUAACAUAAAGUGUGUAGUCUAACUCAUAUCUAUAUCUAUAUAUAUGUGUGUGUGUGUGUGUGUGUUGUGUGUGCGCACGCGCACACACACACACAUACAUAUGCAUAUAUAGAUUUUUGAGCAUGGAUAAAAUGUUGCAUGUAAAUUUUGCCACAGAUGGAAUUGCAAAUUGACCUGCAAAUAUUAUAGGGUGGUACCAUUUUUAUUAUAAGAUGAUACCAGUUUCAGUCCAUGCGAACAUGAAGAGAAAAUUAAGAAUGUAGGGUCGGAUGAUCAGCUGUUGUAAGAAAGUAACUGAGUUCUUGAGUAGUGACCAGUAAUUAUUAAAGCCAUAACAGUAAAGAAACUGUGGUUGUGUGGUGAAGAACAAGAUGCAACAAGGCCAAAAAGGGCUUACUUUAAGGCACAACAGAAUAAUUGAGAUUGUCUUUGAAAGAUAAUGACAAAAAUGAAAUGCCAAAAUGGAUAGGAUACGUGCCUAGCUACUUGUGAUCCAUAUGCUAAGUAGGUAGCAGAGAAGAUGUGAAAGAAAUCUCAAAAUUAGCUAGUGCUUUGCAUUAAGAGUGAGAAUGUGUGUAUUUGGGGAAUCAUUGGGAGUUCUAAUUCACAUGAAAUAGGUUGUACCAGGUAAUCAAACCUGGGAUGAACUUCUUGCUGUGGUUUGCUAUAGUUGAAUAAUGUCCAGGCAUCGCAUGUGUAGCUCAUGCCUGACUUCCAUAGAUUGAGAAAUAAUUCAUUUCAUUAGCACCUCAGUCAAUCAUAUUCCCAACUUUCCAUCCCUCAGUGGUUUGAAAGUCAAAACACUUUAUAAGAUGGUGUGCUCAAAAUGAAUUCUGGAAAAAAUUAACAUUGGCUUUUUACUUCUCUCAAAAAGAACAUUGGCCUUUUACUUCAUCUUGAAGCUUGAUUAGAUUGGCAUUAUUUGUUUCAAAGGGCCUAUUUUUAUGGUGGUCUUUUUUUUCUCCCUUUGGGAUUCAGGCUGGCCCACUCCAAUGGUUCUUUGGGUAUUUAUAAAGAUAGGCCUAGCCCAGCCCAAUUUAGUUGGUUGUGUUGGCCCAACCCAUGAAUCCCAUGGGAUUUUGGGCCGAGACAUCCAAACAGGCCCUUAGAGCAUUUAGGAAGCUAAUGAGAAUAGAAAUAUGAAGUUUCUGAAGUUCAAGUUAUGGCUGUUUAUUUGUAGCUUAUUCGGUGUUCGAAUAAAGUUGGGGAAACAUGUUCUUGAUGUUCAGUUUUUACUAGAUUGUAGAGCUUUUGUUUCCUCUCUGCAGGUCGUGGUUGCAACCUUUUUGAAUAAAAGAAUUUUAAAGUCCUGUCCUAUUUUCCCCCUUUGUGCUGUUUAACAUAUUUGUUAUCUUUGUUUUGGAUAUUGAUGAAUAUCAACAGAACUGCUUUUGACGACUCCUGGUAGAAAAUUUUAGGCAUCUUCAUGUUGUUAUCCUUAGUAUGUUUUGCUAUAGUCAUUCCAUAGCAAACACGAAACUAUCUGGUCCAGUACUUGAUAAUUUGCUUAUAUCAAAGUUUUGCUUACUCAUAUAGGAUAGUUUGUUGUUGAUUUUCAUACAUUUGCUCUAAUCAUAAUAAUUUUUUGUUUGUUUAAGUAGCCCUUGUAAUUGAUGGUGCAACACAGCAUCUUCUAGACGAAAAUGCUCAACUUUUUAACAAAAUUGCAGCUAAUAUUGCCACAUUCCAGGUUGGUAUCUUAGAUCUUCCCCCUUCCCUUUACUGUUUGAGAUGUGGUCAUCAUAUUCAUUUUGCUACUAAGCUUGGAAUCAGCUACUGCCAGAACAAAGUGGCUGUAUCUCACUGUUUUCCCAGAUUUUUUAAAGUUGGUCUAAAAGGCUAAAACAAUGAUUUUGCACCUGAGAUUUUUCUGUUUGCAUUAUUCUAGAUGCAAGAACUAGAAGGUCUCAAAUUGAGAGUAAUGUCAUCACAGUUCUGAUUAGCAUUUUAACUUAUACCAUGGUUGUCCAAUACAGAACAAUAUCUCAUAGGCAUAAUUGAGACAUCAGUUUAACUUUAAUUGCUGGGAACAUGGAAUGCUGUACCGGGCCGAACCAUCCGGUACGGGAUGUGCCAAACUGUACCGACGGGGAACCGAGACGGUUCCGGCAUGCAAAACGGCACAUGCCGGUGCCGGGGAAGAAAAAGAGAGAAAGAGAGAGAAAUAGAGAGAGAGGGAGGGAGGAAGAAAAAGAGGGAGGGGAGUCUAUCGGAGGGGCCGCCGGAGGUUCGUUGGAGGGCAGCCAUGGCCGUCGGACGGCGGAAAGGGCUCCCGCGGCUCCGCGCGGGGAACAGGGCCGAUCCGCCCAUGUUUCUUGAGUUUUUUUUUUAAAAAAAGCCUUUUCAAAGUGAAGUCGGCCCCCUGUUCCUCGCGCAGAGCCACGGGAGCCCUUUCCGCCGCCCGACGGCCACGGCUGCCCUCCGAUGGUCCCUUCGAUGGAUUCUCCUCCCUCUUUUUCUUCAUUCCUCUCUCUCUCUAUUUCUCUCUCUCUCUCUUUUUCUUCUCCGGUUCGUCCGUGUUUUCCUUCGUCGGUUCGCCUCGGUUCGGAAUGGAACGAAGGCGUGCCGUACCGUACCGCCGGCCGGCCGUUCCGGCCACCGGUACCGGUUCCGCCGACCUUGGCUGUGAAUCCUUGUUUUUUUUCCUUUUUAUGGCUUGGGGGUUAAAAUCAGCUGCUGAAGGCUUUGGUGGUGUUUAGAGUUAUGCAUGUGUAUAUGAAUGCCCAGUAUGCCAAAAUAAUAUUUUAGUUCUUAGGUAUUUUGCUAUAUGUUUCAAGAUAUCACCUGAUACAAUAAGAAUUAUACUAGUUUGCUCUUCUUAUUAUACUAUCUGUUCAAUUUUGCAAGACCUUGGCAUUUCACCAAUUUUUCGACCUUCUCAUGCCCUAUGUUCAUGCUUACUGUUCUUUGAGUCUAUGUAGUAGUCAAUGGGUUCGUGCUUAUUGCUUCUAAGCUCUACAUUUAACAGUUUUUUUCACAAAAAAAAAAGUUAUCAAAUUUUCUCAUGGGGACAAUACGUAACAUCUUAUCUAAAUCAAUACCUUAAGUAUAUGCACUUACCAGACCAUUUUGUGUAAAAUAUAUGCUGACUUGGCUUCUACAGCAAUAUAUCAAUCCUUCAUGAGGGAGUUAUAUAUUAAAGUACUAUCGGUCUGCAUCACUCUUUAUUAUAACUUAUUAAAAUAUUGAAUGGUACACAGUGUUAUGUUUUGACUAUAAGAUUUAUGUUGAUAUGAUGCUGAUUUAUACUUGGGAGUAACGGUAUGGUGUUGUAUACAUGGAAUCAUGCUGUUAUCACAGAAAUAAUCCAUGUAUAACAGAAUUCAUGAAGCUUGAUUUGUUUAUAAGAAUAAGUAAUUUUUGAGUUCCAAAAUGUAUAUUUUCAUUGCAGUAAAGUAGUCCGAUGUAGUUUAUAUCUGAAAAAAAGGUUAAUGUGGUAACAUUUCUGAAAAAAGUUUAUACCUAUAUUGUAGCUAUGUUCGUUUUUUUGUUGGAUGCCUAAAAAUUCAAGGUCAAUAGGCUGUUUAGUUGGUGUUAUAAUUCUUUCAUUGAAAAGCUACUGGUUCAUCUUGAGGUAGGCGAGUUUGGUAAUAUGCUUAAUUCAUUAUUGAGCAUAAUUUUGUGAAAAAAAUAAAAUCAAAACUAAAAAUUAAAAUCAAAACUAAGUCCUUUCUGAAAAAAAAUUAUCACAAUUAAUUUUAUUCCUUCCAAAAUCAAGAGCCCCUGACAAACAGGCCACCUCAUUCACUGUGGUUGCCACCCUGCUCUGCCCCUAGCCCACUGGUCUACAUUAUCUUCUUUCUGGCCUCUCUUUCCCUCUUCUCUUACUGCUGUUUCUCAAGUCUAUUCUGAUUACACUUCCCUCUAUCCCUUCUUCCAUCUCUUUUCUUUUGUUUUUCUCUUCUCUUUUAUAAUUUUUUAUUCAUUAUAUGGAAAAUGACUCUGUAUGGCAUUGCCUCCCUUGCUUUCCCCAAAAAAGAGUUCCUUUUUCUAACUGCAUUUUAAUGAGCAAAGGCUGUAUAACCAGCCUUGUAACAUUUUUUUUGUCCAUGGUUAAUUUUUGGGGAAAGAUUAUAGGUGCUAGGAUGGCAGCUGUGCGUUCUGAUGGGUGCCUAUAGUUUGAGGCAUUUGGAAAAAAAAAGAAAAGAAGAAAGAUACAAAAAUCUAAGUAUUUCUUUUGAGCAUUCAAAAAAGGAGAGAAUUAAAAUUAUAAUUGUUCUUCAUUCUUUGGUCAAGCAAUACUGCAAUAGUAUCUGCCACUGCUAAUGGCAGCCACCACAACCACACUGUCCACAGCAUCAUUGACUGCCACUUCUGCCUCCAUUAGCUUCUGGCGGUCUUUACCUGCAGCAGCUGUGGUUACUUGUGCCAAGGUACUUGAUGCUAGCCAGGGGGGCUGGCCGAUAGGCUGCCCUAGUACUAGGAAAUAUGUUCAGUGGGCCUUGGCCUAUGUUGGGCACUUAGGUGGUUGCCUCAGCCUUUUUUAGAACAUGGCCAUACUAGGUUAAAGCAUCCCAUGCUUUUCAGAGACCUCCAAUAAAGUUAGAGUUAAGCAUCAUGAUCUGUUAAAAGAUAAAAUUUGGAUCUUAAUUAAGUGAUUGCAGUAGCCAAAUUAGUACAACCUCAUUCAUUUUGAAAUUUUUAUGAAUUUUAACAAGUUGAUGGCAUUACUUACCCAAACCUAGACAUAGCAAUAUAUCUAUGCUAGGACUUCGAGGUUCUUGCAAUACCAGUCCAUUCCUAGAAUGAGCAUACCUAAUUCUUGUAUUUAUAUUAUAGUAAUAUAGAGAUUUGAAAGUAUGAGAGAACCAAUGAAGGCACAAUUAACUACAUUCAUCUCUUAUUGGACAUUGCAUGUGGACAUUAUAGAACAAAUGGGUAAAAUUAUAAUUACCAGACAAAUACAGUGAUAGUAGGACUAUUUUUGGUGCAGGGUCUAUAUCUCAUUCAUCGAGAACAUGAGCAUGGCUUACUUAUAGUGACCUUAUGUUGUAAGUCAUAUGAGCUACAUGUGUCACGCCCCGAACCGAGUAUAUGACAGAUGCCACAUACCUGCAGGUUGGGCCGUACAAGCAUGCAAGGCUACAAAUCACAACAUAACAUUUCAUCAUAAUAAUAAUAAGCCUUUAAUUCUCAAAAUCAAUUAAAAACAAUUAAAUCCUUUUUACAUAGCAAAUAUCUUUAUGCAACAUAAAUCAUAAUGUUUCAUUUAAAUAAAAUAUCCAAACAAAGUCAAACUGAGCUAGAAAUCUAGAAAAUUCGAAUAUUUCCAAAAGAUCUAGCGCACUCACCCUUAUCCAAGGUAGUUAUGAUUCAGCAUCUGAAAAAAAGAAAAUAAAAAAAGAAUAAUGAGUUAUACUAGCCUAGUAAACAACAUAACAUAUCACAAUGGGGUCUAAGCAUGCUAAGAAAGAUAAAUCACAUGUUAUUGACUGGGAGGAGUAAAUCUCAACUAACACAUAUUUCUUUGAAAAUAAUUAUUUUCAUAUACUGAUACUGAACUCAACAUCAAGUUACAGCCACGUAAGCCAGUGAUAUGGGUCUGAUAAUAGAAACACGUUGCAUAGAGUGCCAGAUAAUAGAUACCACUGUUCUAAUCACCGGUGGCUCGAUGUCGAAACUAGUUUCUCGGAUUACAAGUUGACAGGUCCAACGUAUAAUCCCUAUUGGCGGGGCCACGUCAUAGCCAUGUCGAGAACAUGCAUAUAAAAGCAAUUUCACAAAUUCCCAGUCAAGUUUCUCAAAUAUAUUUCUCAAAAUAAAUCAUAUAUUUGAAACAAAAUAUUUUCGUGAAUAAAACAUUACAUGCUUGACUUAUUUAUUAAAUUGAAAACUGAGAGCAUAAAUCAAACAACUAAUUUUAAUUUUCAAAAGAUCAUUCGAAAACACACUUGAAGCGUUAGGUCACUGGUCAUACUUCAAAAUCCGGCUUCAAUUAGAUAGGUUGACUUCACCUAUUCAAUGCCAUCAAUAAUUAAUUAAUUAAUUAUCAAUGACUUAAAAUUCUUAACAAAUUAAGAAAUCUCGAAGAACCUAGAUGAAUUAUAUUAAGGGCAUUCAAAUCUAUAAGGAUCUAAUAAAACUCGGGUGGGAGUCAGUGUACUAUCUGACGGUCAUGGGUCAAAGCCCCUGUGCCUAAAAUAAUUCGAUUUACAAGAGAUAGAUUUUGAGUCAAUUAUCCUCUUAGGAGAGAAAAGAGACAUGAGAAGAGAGAAGAAUAUCAAACAAGACAAACAAGAGAGAGAUUAGAGAAAAAAAUUUUAGAGAGAUAAAAUAAAACUUCUAGAGAGAGGCAGGAUUCAGAGUUAGAGCAAGGAGAGAUGAAAGAGAGAGAAACUCUCUGUUUUCUUAUUUUUUUCUUUUUCUUUCAUUUUCUUUUUUUCCUUGUUCACGGGAGCAGAGGACCCAUGCGGUCCUUUUCCUUUUUUUUCUUUCAUGGAGCAGGGGAGUGCUUCUCCCCCCUUUUUUCUGAGCCAGGACGGCAACCACCCCCACUGACAACCCUCAAGGCUGCAGGGGCAGUCCCCAACGAUACCAACCGGCUAGAUCCGAUGACCGACGGCGACAAGUGGUGACGGAAAAAAAACGAAACAAAAUAGAAAAAUAAGAAACUUGGAAAACAAUGAUUUUUGAAGGGAUUUUCAGCAGAAAACUCAGCAAAAUCCAAAAUAAAAACCCCUAAAAGAUUGAUGGAAUAAGAUGGAAGAGAUUUUACUUGAUUUGGAUGGGGUUUGACUCAAUUUUCGGCGGCUAAAAGAAGAUUAAUCCAUCAGCAAAUAGGAUGAAAGGAGGGAAGAAAAUCAACAAUUAACCAAUGAUUUUUGUGAGGAAAAACCCAGGAGAUUGAGGCCUUUAAAUAGGCCUCAAACAGGGAGGAAUUAGGGUUGGAAUUAACCUCUAAUCCUAAGGAUUUUAGGAAUUUGAAUUGGAGAAGAACUCCUUCGGGAGUUCUUCUGUGUAUUUCGCUCUACGCUAACCAAUUUCAUUUUUUUUUUUGCUGCUUUGAGAUUUAUAAUAUGGGAUUUGGGUAUUACAUCCUUCCUAAAAAGAAAUUUUGUCCUUGAAAUUUAGUGUUCCUUAAUUGGAAAAAAGUUUUGGAUAUUUCUCCUUCAUCUCAUCCUCGAACUUUCAAGUAGCCUCACGUUCGAUGUGAUUACUCCACUGAAUCUUGACGUAUUGAAUCGUGCUCCUUCUUAAAACUUGUUCCUUCCUGUCAACAAUACGUAUGGGCUGCUCAUUGUAAGACAUAUCUUCUCUAAGCUGUAAAGGUGCCAAAUCUACCGCAUGGCUUGCAUCUGGAAUGUACUUUCUUAACAUACAAACAUGAAAUACAUCGUGAACUCCUGUUAGCAAGGGUGGAAGUGCCAAUUUAUAUGCUACAGCUCCAAUCCUUUCCAAAAUCUCAAAGAGGCCCACAUAUCGAGGAUUGAGUUUUUCACGAACUCCAAAUCGCAUUACCCCUUUAGAGGGAGAUACUCUAAAAAAUACAUGAUCUCCAAUCUGAAAUUUUAAUUUUUGCCUUCUAUUAUCUGUAUAACUUUUAUGUCUAUUCUGAGCUAUCUGAAGGCGUUCUCUGAUUAAUUGGAUCUUUUCAAUUGUUUGCUGAAUAAUCUCUGGGUCCAUCAGUUUUCUUUCCCCCAUGUCAUCCCAACAGAUGGGUGAUCUGUAGUUCCUUCCAUAAAGGGCUUCAUAAGGAGCCAUCUGAAUACUUGCUGAUAACUGUUAUUAUAAGCAAACUCGAUCAGAAGCAAGUGACGAUCCCAAAAACCUCCCAUAUCUAUUACACAAGCUCUUAACAUAUCCUCCAAAAUUUGAAUAAUUCUUUCUGACUGGCCAUCAAUUUGAGGGUGGAAGGCGGUACUAAAGCUAAAAGUAGUUCUCAAAGCUUUAUGCAGACUUUUCCAAAAAUGCACCACAGAUUGUGAGUCCCUAUCAGAGACAAUAUAUAUAGGAACUUCAUGCAACCUCACAUCUGCUCAAUGUAAAGUUCUGCAAGCUUUUCUAAUGUCAUGCCUGUUUUGAGUGCCAAAAGGGGAGUUGAUUUGUCAAUCUAUCUACAAUUACCCAUAUGGCAUCAUAACCUUUGGCAGUAUGGGGUAGCCUAGAUACAAAGUCCAUCGUAAUAUGCUCCCAUUUUCAUUUAGGAAUAGGAUGGGGUUGCAACAAUCCUGUUGACCUCUGGUGUUCUACUUUUACUUGCUGACAUGUCAUACAUUGUGCCACGAACAGUGCAAUCUCUCUCUUCAUGUUAUUCCAUCAAAAUAUAUUCUUCAGAUCCUUAUAUAUCUUGGUGCUUCCAGGGUGCAUUGUAUAUCCUGUGUUGUGAGCUUCCUCCAUAACUUCUCUUUUCAACUUAGAAUUAUUUGAAAUACAAAUCUUGUUAUUAUUUAAUCUUAAUGAUCCAUCCUCAUGAAUACUAAACUUUGUCUGGGAACCUGACUCGACAUUGCUUCUAAUCUUUUGUAGUUGAGGAUCCUCUACUUGUGCAACCUUGAUUCUAUCUAUUAAAGUAGGCUUGACAUGCAAGUUAGCCAAUUGCACAUUAGGAUUAUGCAGACGGACUUCAAUCUCUGCUCAUCUCAAAUCUUCCAAAAUGCUUCUUUAAGAGGUGAGUAAAGAGGCUAUGCUACUCGAAGAUUUUCUGCUUAGUACGUUAGCCACCACAUUAGCUUUUUGCAGACGGUAUUGUAUAGAUAGAUCAUAAUCUUUGAGCAAUUCUAACCAUCUCCUUUGUCUCAUAUUAAGUUUCUUUUGAGCAAAAGGAUAUUUCAAGCUUUUAUGAUCAGUAUACACUUCACAAGAUUCACUGUAUAGAUAAUGUCUCCAAAUUUUGAAUGCAAAUACGAUGGCUGCCAAUUCAAGAUCAUGGGUAGAGUAGUUUCCUCAUAAGAUUUUAGUUGUCGAGAGGCAUACGUGAUUACCUUGCCAUUCUAUAUUAGUACGCAAUCUAGUCCCUUCUUUGAAGCAUCACUAUAAAUAGUGAAAUCUCUAACACUAGAAGGAAGGGUAAGAAUAGGGGCUGUUAUCAAAUGUUGCUUUAGCUCUUGAAAACUCUGUUCACAUUCUUCUGACCACUCAAACUUAACUCCUUUAUGAGUUAGUAGAGUCAAAGGUGCAGCAAUACAAGAGAAACUCUCUACAAAACGUCUAUAAUAUUCAGCUAACCCCAAGAAACUACAAAUUUCAGAGAUGCUGUUUGGUCUGCUCCAGUUCACCGCUGCCUCUACCUUCAUUGGAUCUACAUAAAUACCCUCUUUAGACACUACAUGCCCCAAGAAUAUCACAUUGUCUAGCCAAAACUCACUUUUCUUCAAUUUAUCAUAUAACUGUUUCUGUCUUAGAGUUUCUAGAACAAGGCUCAAGUGUUGCUCAUGCUCUGCUUGGCUUCUGGAGUAAAUCAAGAUAUCGUCAAUAAAGACAACCAUAAACUUGUCUAGAAAAUGUUUAAAUACUUUAUUCAUCAGGUCCAUAAAAGCUGCUGGAGCAUUUGUCAACCCAAAGGGCAUGACUAAGAAUUCAUAGUGCCCGUAUGGCGUGCGGAAAGCUGUCUUGGGCACAUCCUCAGCUUUUAUCUUGAAUUGAUGGUAUCCAAAAUGAAGAUCAAUCUUAGAGAAUAUCUGAGCACCUUUUAACUGAUCAAAAAGAUCAUCGAUCCUGGGCAAUGGAUAUUUAUUCUUUAUUAUUACUUUGUUUAUCUCCUGAUAAUAAAUAUAUAACCUCAUACUGCCAUCCUUUUUCUUUAUGAACAAUACUGGAGCUCUCCAAGGGGAAAUGCUAGGUCUGAUGAAGUCUUUAUCAAGAAGAUCUUGCAAUUGCUCCUUCAAUUCCUUCAUCUCAGCAGGAGCCAUUCUAUAUGGAGCUUUGGAGAUUGGUGCUGUAUCGGGAAUCAACUUGAUUGCAAACUCAACUUCUCUAUCUGGAGGCAAUCCAGGAAGAUCUUCCGGAAAAACAUCAGGAUAUUCAUUUACCACAAGAAUAUCUUCAAGUUUCUGAUUCUUUUGUUUAGUAUCAGACAGUAUGGCUACAUACACCCUACACCCCUUCCUGAGUAGUCAUGUAAUUUGCAAUGUAGAAAUAACUUGAGGGGAAGUGUAGGCGCCCUUGCCAAUAAAAUUGAAACUUCUAUCAUCAGGAAUUUGAAAAUUCAUCCAUUUCUCAUAGCAAUCAAUAGUGGCAAGAUGUGAUGCCAACUAAUCCAUACCCAAAAUAUAUCGAAAUCAUGAAUAUCAAUGACUACCAAAUCUGCAGUCAAUUUUCUGCCCUCUAUCUGAAUUGAACAAGAUUUGUAGAUUCGAUUGGAGAUCAUCUUACCCCCAACAGGGGUGCUAAUAUAUAAAUUAGACUCCCAAUGGCGCAUAGGGUAUAUUAUGCUUUUGAACAAAUAUAGAAGACACAAAAGAGUGUGUAGCACCAGAAUCAAAUAACACAUGAGCAUAAACAGAUGAGAGUAAUAAUAUACCUGAUACCACGAUGUUGGAUGCCUGAGCAUCCUGCUGAGUCAAUGCGUAAAUGCGGCCCUGAGUGUGUGGUUUUCCACCCUUUUGUUGUCCUGAAGAUAAACCCUGAAUUGGUUGAGUCGAAGUAGUAGGGGUCAGAAUUAUAGAAGUUUGCAUCGACUGGGUCCUCAUGGCCUGAGGUUUAUGAACUGAUUGGGACUCCUAAAGAAUUUGAGGGCGCUCGGCUAUUUUAUGGCCUUGUUGACCACAUUUGAAACAAGCACCGGUUGUCCAUCUACAGUUUUCUGUCUUAUGAACACCACCAUAUGCUUCGCGCUUAGGCUUGUCUUGCUGAGUUGUUUUUUCAUAAGAUCCUUGCUUCCUAGAAUGCCAAGACUUAGCAUGAGAUUUUGUAGAUCCAUCAGAAUUUUGAGCAUUUAUAUCUCUACUCUUCUUUUGCUUGCCUCCCAUAGCAUCAUAGGUUUCUUUCCAAAUAAUCUCCAUAUUCUUAGCCCUAUCGACCAAAUCAUCAUAGUUUUUUGAGAGUACUGCAGCAAGGCCUCAACGUAUAUGUGGCUUCAACGCCUCUUCAAACCUGCUCAUCCUAGACGUAGCAUCCAUGACUACGGUGGGGCAGAAUUGAGAUAAUUUAUCAAACUCAGCCUCAUACUCGUCUACAGUCAUGUUACCUUGGGAUAAAUGAAGAAAUUCUCUCUCUAAUUCUCUUAAUUGGCUAGAAGGAAAAAUACUUAGAAUAGAAAGCAGUGCGGAACUUUUGCCAGGUAACUAGCUCAUAAUCAUUUGCCAAUGUGCGCUCUACAGACUUCCACCAAUGAUGGGCUUUAUUUUGAAGCAUAUAAGUGGCAAAUCUAACCUUUUCCUCAUCAGUACAUUCCAUUGCCCUGAAAGCUUUCUCCAUCUCAUCUAUCCAGGCCUCAACCUCAUAAGGAUUUGUAGUACCUUUAAAUGCCGAAGGAGCCAUUUUUCUGAAUUCUGAUAUACCCCUCCUAUGCUCAACUGGACCACCAGCAUCAGGCUGCUCUCAUUGUAAAGGCUGCUGAGGUUGCUGUCUCUAUUGAUGUACCAAUCCUACCACCUCCUCAAUUAAUUCGAGAACUGGUGCUUCAUUUCCAACAAUCGGUUGAUUUGCUAUUGAUGGACCAACCCUCACUUCUUGGUGAGUACUUGGGGUGACAUUUUUACAUUCUUGACUUGGUGGUGCCUCAGUCACUCAAUUAGUAGGGAUUCCAUCUUGAGAGCCCCCAACGAUCUCAUUAAUACUUCGUCUUUGGGCACGUUAAGACAGCAUUUUGAUUUAGUAAGACAAACAUUAAAAACUACUUUCAAACAAAAUAUCACAAAAUCAUUAAUAAGAGAGCAAGCAAAGAUGUUUGUUGCCUAAUUUCUACCCAACUCUCA
RNAcentral lists this long non-coding RNA (16574 nucleotides) under Elaeis guineensis (African oil palm). RNAcentral's name for it is "long non-coding RNA (EGUI_LNC023399)". The record is from RNAcentral. Lineage: Eukaryota; Viridiplantae; Streptophyta; Magnoliopsida; Arecales; Arecaceae.